This 463-nucleotide ribosomal RNA is filed under the name uncultured bacterium. RNAcentral describes it as "partial 16S ribosomal RNA". It matches the Rfam family "Bacterial small subunit ribosomal RNA", at positions 28 to 505 of the family's 1533-position model. The record is from RNAcentral.
GACGAACGCUGGCGGCGUGCUUAACACAUGCAAGUCGAACGGAAAGGCCCCAGCUUGCUGGGGUACUCGAGUGGCGAACGGGUGAGUAACACGUGGGUGAUCUGCCCUGCACUCUGGGAUAAGCCUGGGAAACUGGGUCUAAUACCGGAUAGGACCGUGCUUUAGUGUGUGCGGUGGAAAGUUUUUCGGUGCAGGAUGAGCCCGCGGCCUAUCAGCUUGUUGGUGGGGUAAUGGCCUACCAAGGCGGCGACGGGUAGCCGGCCUGAGAGGGUGUACGGCCACAUUGGGACUGAGACACGGCCCAGACUCCUACGGGAGGCAGCAGUGGGGAAUAUUGCACAAUGGGCGCAAGCCUGAUGCAGCGACGCCGCGUGGGGGAUGACGGCCUUCGGGUUGUAAACCCCUUUCGGCAGGGACGAAGCUUUUGUGACGGUACCUGCAUAAGAAGCACCGGCUAACUACG